ACGAACGCUGGCGGCGUGCUUAACACAUGCCCGUCGAACGGAAAGGCCCUGCUUGCAGGGUACUCGAGUGGCGAACGGGUGAGUAACACGUGGGUGAUCUGCCCUGCACUUCGGGAUAAGCCUGGGAAACUGGGUCUAAUACCGGAUAGGAGCCAUUUUUAGUGUGAUGGUUGGAAAGUUUUUUCGGUGUAGGAUGAGCUCGCGGCCUAUCAGCUUGUUGGUGGGGUAAUGGCCUACCAAGGCGGCGACGGGUAGCCGGCCUGAGAGGGUGGACGGCCACAUUGGGACUGAGAUACGGCCCAGACUCCUACGGGAGGCAGCAGUGGGGAAUAUUGCACAAUGGGCGCAAGCCUGAUGCAGCGACGCCGCGUGGGGGAUGACGGCCUUCGGGUUGUAAACUCCUUUCGCUAGGGACGAAGCUUUUUGUGACGGUACCUAGAUAAGAAGCACCGGCUAACUACGUG
Molecule: ribosomal RNA, 464 nt
Filed under: uncultured bacterium
Lineage: Bacteria
Description: partial 16S ribosomal RNA
Rfam family: Bacterial small subunit ribosomal RNA
Source: RNAcentral